RNAcentral lists this ribosomal RNA (392 nucleotides) under uncultured bacterium. Its description in RNAcentral is "partial 16S ribosomal RNA". It matches the Rfam family "Bacterial small subunit ribosomal RNA", at positions 523 to 918 of the family's 1533-position model. The record is from RNAcentral.
AUACGGAGGAUCCGAGCGUUAUCCGGAUUUAUUGGGUUUAAAGGGUGCGCAGGCGGCCAUUUAAGUCAGCGGUUAAAUCGUGGGGCUCAACCCCAUUCUGCCGUUGAUACUGGGUGGCUUGAUUGCGGUCGAGGUUGGCGGAAUUCGUUGUGUAGCGGUGAAAUGCAUAGAUAUGACAAAGAACACCGAUUGCGUAGGCAGCUGACCAGACCGCAAAUGACGCUCAUGCACGAAAGUGCGGGGAUCGAACAGGAUUAGAUACCCUGGUAGUCCGCACAGUAAACGAUGAAUACUUGUUUUCGGCGAUAUAAUGUCGGAGGCAAAGCGAAAGCGAUAAGUAUUCCACCUGGGGAGUACGCCGGCAACGGUGAAACUCAAAGGAAUUGACGGGG